UUCAUAAGCUUGGUCCAAAGAAAGGCCAGCUUCUUUAUGCAUGUGUAUACUUUGUAAACUUGGUCCAAAGAAAGGCCACUCUAUUAUUUAAAUUCUACUAUUUAUUCUACUGUUUUCUUUAAUGUGGUAGAAAUUGUGCAUGCACGUACAUGUGUAUGUGCGCACAUGUGUAUACAAACAUAUCCCGCAGUGUGUAUUUAUAGAAAAUGCCUUUGAGAGCAGGGGCAGGGAAAAUAUGGCAAUCUGCACAGUGCAUGCUCUUGUCUGGCUUGUUUUAAGUCAGAUCCUCUGUGCUAUUGUAACACAGUUUUGUAUUUAAUUUCCUGUGUUUGUAACUCAAGCCAGCUUCCAGUGUUGCUUGUGUGAGUGUUUGUUUGGGUUUCUCUGAGGGCCUUUCUUUUGUUGGAAAGUGUGAGGAUUUUAACAUAGCUGUUAACACCGCACUAAAACGCCUGAUCUUGUUUUCACUGGGGCAACUGCUACAACACUCUUCUGUUGGCAGCGGCUGGCGCUGGUUCCUGCUUCCAGCCUCAGCGUGCUCCUGUCAGGGACGCCACAGGGCCCUGUGGAGGCUUUGAGCCCGCGCCACACCAGCUCCUGACCCACACGUCUUCAGGGCAGCAGCAAGCUGGGACAGAGCAGGUGCAUCUUCCUCCUGCAGAUCUGGAGUUUUUCUGGCCAUGUCCUGACACCAUUCGCUUACAGGGGAAGCUUCAUGGGGGAGUGUGAAGAGAGAGAUGCUACACCCACACAUAGGAUAGUGCUAAAAUGGUGGAGGGGAGCAUUUUGCCUCCUGCUGGUGUGGCUUUUCCAGGCUGUGAAAGGGGAAAGGUGCAACGAGGGCUUGCUGCCCUUGGAUCUGUGGCCUACUCUGUGUGUGGCACGCCCUCAGUCCUUGAUCUGCAACUUCCCCAAACACUCAGACAAGAGCAGAAGCAUUGAGCUUCGUUUAUUCACUCUUGGACUCAGUGACAUGGCAGUGACUUCCACAGACUUCAUACUAGUUACAUAAUGCAUCUAACAAAGGCAGUGCUUGGAUGCCAGCAUACCACUGGGCCAGCAAUGGAGUGGUGAAACUGGACUGCCACCAACAGCACCGAAGGGAGCAAAGCCGCCGCUGUCCCUCCUGAGAUAUGUGCACUCACUGCUGAUGUGCAGAUUCAGCCCCAAACUCCAGACCUUUUGCUAGACCAGCUGGGUCAGCAAGCACACCCUUCAUUUCCUCUCUGCUUUCCCUAGCAGCACUGACAUUUUCAAAGCAUCAAAGCUCUUUGUAAAAGAGCAUGGAGAACUCACUUCUCUUAAACAAGACCAGGUGUUUGCUGCCACUGCUGUUCUGCAGUAAAACUUGCACUGCCUAGACCAGAAAGAGGCCUGGUGGUUGUUUUGGUUCUUAAUCCACUAAACAUUGUAUCCCUCGAUUUAAAUGGACUGCAGCACCGUGUGUUCCCUGUUUUCCAUCACUUCUCCACUCAAUGGAGGAAAGGCUGACAUAUCCAACUCUUCAGAUACCCACGGCAACUUCAGCACACCCUGUCUCAAGGAUCCACAUUUGCAUCAGGAGCUGGUUUAUAACUUCCUGGAGCGCACACUGGAUACAAAACAUACCAUAUUGUCUUUGGUGAGGCCCUUGAAACAAACGAUCCUUUCCCUUCCUAGCACAAUACACAGAGUUUGGCAAAAGCAAUGAGUAUCACCCACAUUUGCCCCAUCUUGUGCAUGCUCCAGAAAAAUCCUUGAGGUAGUCUCAGGUGGUAGUUAGGAGGAUGUAUGUUCAGAACCAGUUUCCAGCUGUGCAUAGGUUGUCCUUUGAAUCACAGAGGCUUUCAGUUUAGCUGGUCCCACAGCUGCACAUGCUUAGAAGCAUGUUCUUCUCUUCCUGACUAAAUUUCCUAACCUUCCUGCAUGAGCCUGUGGGUUUACCCAGACCACACUCAUCACUGUGCCUUCCAGCGGUGGAACAUCAGUGCCUUCACUCUGCCGUCAGGAGUUUCCACUCCAAUUCCUAUGAAGGUGGAAAUUCUUCCUCUCAGCUUUGGCCAGGCAAACCUUAUCCCAGACUGACCACCUGUAAGAACAGCUAUUUCAGGAGAGCACUGCACUAUUAUGUCAGACCACACCUGACAGGGACAUGAAGCAGUCAAGGACAGCAAAUAAAGCUGUUUCCACAUAUCCUGGGCA
This is a long non-coding RNA of Numida meleagris (helmeted guineafowl), 2181 nucleotides long. The record is from Ensembl. Lineage: Eukaryota; Metazoa; Chordata; Aves; Galliformes; Numididae.